GACGAACGCUGGCGGCGUGCUUAACACAUGCAAGUCGAACGGUGAAGCGCCUUCCUUUUUGGUGGGUGUGGAUGAGUGGCGAACGGGUGAGUAACACGUGAGUAACCUGCCCCCUUCUUCUGGAUAACCGCAUGAAAGUGUGGCUAAUACGGGAUAUUCUGGGUCUGUCGCAUGAUGGGUCUGGGAAAGAUAUUGUUUCGGUGGGGGAUGGGCUCGCGGCCUAUCAGCUUGUUGGUGGGGUGAUGGCCUACCAAGGCGGUGACGGGUAGCCGGCCUGAGAGGGUGGACUGUAACAGUGGGGAUGAGACACGGCCCAGACUCCUACGGGAGGCAGCAGUGGGGAAUAUUGAACAAUGGGCGCAAGCCUGAUGCAGCGACGCCGCGUGAGGGAUGGAGGCCUUCGGGUUGUGAACCUCUUUCGCCAGUGAAGCAGGCCUGCCUAGUUUGUGGGUGGGUUGACGGUAGCUGGAUAAGAAGCGCCGGCUAACUACGUG
RNAcentral lists this ribosomal RNA (494 nucleotides) under uncultured bacterium. RNAcentral's name for it is "partial 16S ribosomal RNA". It matches the Rfam family "Bacterial small subunit ribosomal RNA", at positions 28 to 507 of the family's 1533-position model. The record is from RNAcentral.